CCUACGGGGGGCAGCAGUGGGGAAUAUUGCACAAUGGGGGAAACCCUGAUGCAGCGACGCCGCGUGAGUGAAGAAGGAUUUCGGGAUGUAAAGCUCGAUCAGCAGGGAAGAAAAUGACGGUACCUGAGUAAGAAGCCACGGCUAACGACGUGCCAGCAGCCGCGGUAAUACGUAGGGGGCAAGCGUUAGCCGGAUUUACUGGGUGUAAAGGGAGCGUAGACGGCAGCACAAGUCUGGAGGGAAAUGCCGGGGCUGAACCCCGGAACUGCUUUGGAAACUGUGCAGCUAGCUUGCAGGCGCGGUCAGUGGCCUUCCUUGUGUAGCGGUGAAAUGCGUAGCUAUUAGGCGGAACACCAGUGGCGACGGCGGCUUACUGGACUGUACCUGCCGUUGCGGCUCGACAGCGUGGGUAGCAACCAGGAUUAGCUACCCUUGUAGUC
This 440-nucleotide ribosomal RNA is filed under the name uncultured bacterium. RNAcentral's name for it is "partial 16S ribosomal RNA". It matches the Rfam family "Bacterial small subunit ribosomal RNA", at positions 338 to 795 of the family's 1533-position model. The record is from RNAcentral.